CAAAAUGCAUCAUAAUAUCCCCCAAGCAAUCACCUACUACUCCAGCCUCCCCAAUGCCUAUCUCAGCCUCAACACCUGGCUGCCAAAAGAAGAGGAAGAAGAUUAACAGAAAAUGGGGUAACUCUCGGGGUAGAGAGGGAAAAGGUGGGCCUGUAUCCUCCAAAGUACUCCACAGUCCAUCAUUGACUGUCGCUAUGCAACCAGAACUAGAUGAUGUCGAGGGCCUACUGUUCGUGUCAUUUACCACAAAGGAAGCGCUUGGGAUUCAUGUUGGGGACAAAUUGUCUACUAGUUCAUCACCUGUAUCUCCAGUUUCCCUAACCCUUGAGUCACCCUCGGAGGCAACUGCUCCAGUAGAGGAAGUCCUAGAGACAGAUGAAGAAAAAAUAGCCCGCUUGCAGGCUAUCCUUCUGCAGGACCUC
Molecule: long non-coding RNA, 422 nt
Organism: Lampris incognitus (smalleye Pacific opah)
Lineage: Eukaryota; Metazoa; Chordata; Actinopteri; Lampriformes; Lampridae
Exons: 3
Source: RefSeq, a predicted model, not a curated record